Molecule: long non-coding RNA, 536 nt
Organism: Acanthopagrus latus (yellowfin seabream)
Lineage: Eukaryota; Metazoa; Chordata; Actinopteri; Spariformes; Sparidae
Exons: 4
Source: RefSeq, a predicted model, not a curated record
ACCACAGCUGCCCCAACUACAACAACCACAGCUUCCCCAACUACAACAACCACAGCUGCAGCCAUGUCAACACCUGACCCUCUUACCUAUGUCAUAUCAGCAACCUUGCAAAAUGAGAUCUUUACAGAUGAGUUGCUAAAUCGCACCAGCUCUCGAUUUCAAGCACUUUCACAAAUGGCUACAGGCCGUUGUAAUCAAAUAUAUCGAGCAAGAUUUGGUUCUGACUUCGACCAGUGCAUUGUGAGACAAUUCAGGGCUGCUCCAGCUCAACAAACACGAGUGGAUGGAACUGUGGUAGAGUUUUCAGUUGUGUUCAAUCGGUCUAUCCCCAAUCCAGCACUCCCAAUGAAUACUGCUGUUGCUCAAACCUUAGUUGAUGCUGCAAAUGAUUCAAACACCUUCAAUGUGACCUUUGGUGCCUCUUCAGUUGCAUUAGUAUCGGGUCCUGUUCCUGACCCUACAACUGCUGCAACAACAACAGCUGUAAAUACAAUUGCAUCAACAACAGCUGGAAUGACAACUGCUGCAACAACAAC